ACGGAUGCGAUCAGUGCGGUUGGCGGAGUGCUUGGUUUGGAGUCAGUUUCCGCUGUUUCGAUUAGUCUGGCCAACGCAUUGCAAAGAACGGCAAUGUCUGCAAGCUAAACGGUGGUAGUUAACGUACAAAUUGACCUGUGAAGAGCAUAUCCGCGAGGGAGAAGUGAAGUUGCGAACACAACCAUACACGCCCAAGAUGGGGUGUUGCUGCAGUGCCUCUGACUCCCAGGACAUUACGCCGGUCCCGGAUCGUCCGAUGCCGGCCGAAGAGUUUCCACCAGCGACGGCCUUCGGAGCGGAUAAUCUAGGCGCGGUGCCGGACAAUACCAACGAAAAUGGUUGAAUUGAGAUAGAACGGAUGGCGAACCAAAGAACUAAUCCAUCCAGCAGAGCAGAUGGUCCUGGCAAAUGUCACUGGUGUUAAUGAUGGAGGGGUUAAAUAAGAGUAAUUUAAAUCUGUUUGCUGUUUAGGAUUUGGGAAGACAAUAAACUGAGAAAAAAAACCUGAAA
Anopheles aquasalis is the source of this 510-nucleotide long non-coding RNA. RefSeq lists it as uncharacterized. The record is from RefSeq and is a predicted model, not a curated record. NCBI's taxonomy places the organism in Eukaryota, Metazoa, Arthropoda, Insecta, Diptera, Culicidae.